RNAcentral lists this ribosomal RNA (468 nucleotides) under uncultured bacterium. RNAcentral's name for it is "partial 16S ribosomal RNA". It matches the Rfam family "Bacterial small subunit ribosomal RNA", at positions 28 to 507 of the family's 1533-position model. The record is from RNAcentral.
GACGAACGCUGGCGGCGUGCUUAACACAUGCAAGUCGAACGGAAAGGCCCUGCUUUUGUGGGGUGCUCGAGUGGCGAACGGGUGAGUAACACGUGAGUAACCUUCCCUUGACUUUGGGAUAACUUCAGGAAACUCGGGCUAAUACCGGAUAGGAGCUCCUGCUGCAUGUUGGUGGUUGGAAAGUUUCGGCGGUUGGGGAUGGACUCGCGGCUUAUCAGCUUGUUGGUGGGGUAGUUGCUUACCAAGGCUUUGACGGGUAGCCGGCCUGAGAGGGUGACCGGCCACAUUGGGACUGAGAUAGGGCCGAGACUGCUACGGGCGGCAGAAGUGGGGAAUAUUGCACAAUGGGCGGACGCCUGAUGCAGCAACGCCGGGUGCGGGAUGACGGCCUUCGGGUUGUAAGCCGCUUUCGCCUGUGACGGAGGGUGAGGGACGGUAAUGGGAAAAGAAGCACCGGCUAACUACGUG